Ornithorhynchus anatinus (platypus) is the source of this 138-nucleotide small nucleolar RNA. The record is from RefSeq and is a predicted model, not a curated record. Lineage: Eukaryota; Metazoa; Chordata; Mammalia; Monotremata; Ornithorhynchidae.
UCCCCUUCAGGGUCACACCUGGAGAGUUUUCAGGACUCUACCAGUGUCGACUGUGGGAGGAAGAAUCAAGCAGAGACCUAUCUAUUCCAUUCCUAGCUUGGGCUUUGGCUAGUGAGUGGAAGGCAAUCUGUUACAAGU